GAUGAAGAACGCAGUGAAAUGCGAUAAGUAAUGUGGAUUGCAGAAUUCAGUGAAUCAUCGAAUCUUUGAACGCAACUUGCGCUCUCUGGUAUUCCGGAGAGCAUGCCUGUUUGAGUAUCAUGAAAUCUCAACCAUUAGGGUUUCUUAAUGGCUUGGAAUUGGGUGUUGCCAGUCGCCUGGCUCGCCUUAAAAGAGUUAGCGUGUUUAACUUGUCUAUCUGGCGUAAUAAGUUUCGCUGGUGUCGGCUUGAGAAGUACGCUUCUAAUCGUCUUCGGACAAUUCUUGAACUCUGGUCUCAAAUCAGGUAGGGCUACCCGCUGAACUUAAGCAUAUCAAUAAGCGGAGGA
RNAcentral lists this unclassified non-coding RNA (347 nucleotides) under soil metagenome. RNAcentral's name for it is "partial contains 5.8S ribosomal RNA, internal transcribed spacer 2, and large subunit ribosomal RNA". The stretch from base 1 to 120 matches the Rfam family "5.8S ribosomal RNA", at positions 35 to 154 of the family's 154-position model. The record is from RNAcentral.